RNAcentral lists this long non-coding RNA (1692 nucleotides) under Junco hyemalis (dark-eyed junco). RNAcentral describes it as "lncRNA (ENSJHYG00000004564.1)". The record is from RNAcentral. Lineage: Eukaryota; Metazoa; Chordata; Aves; Passeriformes; Passerellidae.
UGUUUUUUUUUUCACAUGCAGACAUCAAACCUGGAUAGCACGACCUUUUGGCAACAAAGAUUUUUUUUUCUUUUUAAGUCAUUAUUAUUUUUGCUUAGUUUAGCUUAAAUGUCUGAGCACAGUUUUAUUAAAACAAAAGAAGAAAAAAAUCAGAGCAGUCAUGCAAUGACAUGCACAUACCAGAAGGAGAAAGAAAAAAAAAAUAAUAAAAUAGAGGACUAAUUGAUUUUUCUCCUCCAUAGUUGGGUGGUUGUUUUAAAGUGACCAAAUAAAAUAAAAUAAAAAUAUCUCACAUUAUAAAAAGUAUUCAGCAAAAUACUGGGGUGCUUUUUUUUUUUCCCUGUAUUUCUGUAAAGAAUUUCCCUUCUGCUGAAAACAAAGAAAAAAAAAAUAAUAAUAAAAAGGAAAAUAAACCAAAAAUAAGAAAACAAACCCAAAAGCUGCUGCCGGGACAUCGCUCCCCAGAGUUGGGGGGACCCGCAGAGCCGCCCCCCGCCCCCCCAGCCUGGCUCGGGGGGCUGAGCCCUCUUACCUCCAGCACGGGGAGCCGGUGCUUGGGGACACGGGGGGGACACGGGGCUGGGGAGGGCAGCGGGAGCGCCAGGCCCAGCGAGGAGAGGAGCCAGAUGAGCUCCAUCCAUCCAUCCAUCCAUCCAUCCAUCCAUCCAUCCAUCCAUCCAUCCAUCCAUCCAUCCAUCCCCUCACGGAUCCUGGAGCGCGCAGCCCCGGGGGAGCCGGGCAGGACGGGACCGGGAUGGGGGCAGAUCCUGGAGCAGCCACCCGGACCGAGCCCCGGGAUCCGGGUCAGCCGGGAGCAUCCCCGGGAUCGGCCGCCCGGGCAGCCCCGAGCCGGGAGGCGCCGGGUGAGGGCCGGGAUGGGGCAAUCCAGCCGGGAUCCGGGCGGUGCGAGUAAUCCAGGAGCCGGGAGAGCCGGGCAAGGAGGGUGCGGGCGGUGCGGGUCCCAUCGAUCCAAGUGCAGGCAGGAUCCAGGUGCGGGCAGCCUGGACCCGGUCAAUCCGGGUGCGGGCAGAGCGGACCCGUCGCAGCGCAAGCCCGGUAUCCUGAACACCGUGGGGUUCCCCCCGGAGCGGUGCCGAGGGCAAGGGGAGGAGAAGGGGUGCCACCGCGCCGCCCCCCACAAUCCCUCAAGCGCACGUGGUGACGGCGGGGGCGAGGGCGACGGGCGGCGAGGUGGUGGCGGUGGCGGCGGGGGGCGCGGCGGGGGGCUGCACCCCCGAGCCCUUCUCGGCCUUCUUCUCCUUCUGCUUGAGGUGGAUCUUGGCGUGCCGCUUGCGCUCGUCGGAGCGGGCGAACUUGCGGCCGCAGAACUCGCAGGCGAAGGGCUUCUCGCCGGUGUGGGUGCGGAUGUGGGUGGUGAGGUGGUCGCUGCGGCUGAAGCUCCGCAUGCAGAUGCGGCACUGGAAGGGCUUGUGGCCCGUGUGGAUGCGGAGGUGACGGGUGAGCUCGUCGGAGCGGGAGAAGCGGCGGUCGCAGCCCUCGGCCGGGCAGGCGUGGGGCCGCUCGUGCAGCGGCGUCUUGCUGGGCCGGUUGGGAUACUUGCGGGGUCGGAUGGGCUUGAGCGUGAGCGGCGGCUGCGGCAGCCCCCCGAAACCCGGGUGGAUCUGCUUGUCCUUGAAGGCCUUGAUGGUCUCCAGCGGGGUGAUGGGGGGCGGGUUGACGCGGAUGGGGUCC